UAAUACGUAGGCAGCGAGCGUUGUUCGGAGUUACUGGGCGUAAAGGGUGUGUAGGCGGUUGUUUAAGUUUGGUGUGAAAUCUCCCGGCUCAACUGGGAGGGUGCGCCGAAUACUGAAUGACUAGAGUGCGGGAGAGGUGAGUGGAAUUCCUGGUGUAGCGGUGAAAUGCGUAGAUAUCAGGAGGAACACCGGUGGUGUAGACGGCUCACUGGACCGUAACUGACGCUGAGACACGAAAGCGUGGGUAGCAAACAG
RNAcentral lists this ribosomal RNA (255 nucleotides) under uncultured prokaryote. Its description in RNAcentral is "partial 16S ribosomal RNA". It matches the Rfam family "Bacterial small subunit ribosomal RNA", at positions 521 to 775 of the family's 1533-position model. The record is from RNAcentral.